CGGAGAGCGGACCCCAGAGAGCCCUGAGCAGCCCCACCACCGCCGCCCGCCUAGUUACCAUCACACAUCGGGAGGAGCCGCAGCUGCCGCAGCCGGCCCCAGUCACCAUCACCGCAACCAUGAGCAGCGAGGCCGAGACCCAGCAGCCGCCCGCUGCCCUGACCUCAGCGCUGCCACACCAAGCCCCCGGCACUACAGGCAGCGGCGCAGGGAGCGGUGGCCCGGGUGGCCUCACAUCGGUGGCACCUGCCGGCGGGGACAAGAAGGUCAUCGCAAGGAAGGUUUUGGGAACAGUAAAAUGGUUCAAUGUGAGAAACGGAUAUGGUUUCAUCAACAGGAAUGACACCAAGGAAGAUGUAUUUGUACACCAGACUGCCAUAAAGAAGAAUAAUCCCAGGAAGCACCUUCGCAGUGUAGGAGAUGGAGAGACUGUGGAGUUUGAUGAUGUUGAAGGAGAAAAGGGUGCGGAGGCAGCUAAUGUUACAGGCCCUGGUGGAAUUCCAGUUCAAGGCAGUAAAUACGCAGCAGACCGUAACCAUCAUAGGUCCUCCAUGCAAUUACCAGCAGAAUUACCAGAAUAGCCAGAGUGGGGAAAAGGAGGAGGGAUCUGAGCGUGCUCCUGAAGGCCAGGCCCAACAACGCCGGCCCUACCGCAGGCGAAGGUUCCCACCUUACUAUGUGCAGAGACCCUAUGGGCGUCCACCACAGUAUUCCAACCCUCCUGUGCAGGGAGAAGUGAUGGAGGGUGUUGACAACCAGGGCACAGGAGAACAAGGUAGACCAGUAAGACAGAAUAUGUAUCCGGAUUAUAGACCACGAUUCCGCAGGGGCCCUCCUGACCAAAGACAGCCCAGAGAGGACGGCAAUGAAGAGGAUGAAGAGAAUCAAGGAGAUGAGACCCAAGGUCAGUAGCCGCCUCAACGUUGGUACGGUUGCAACUUCAAUUACGGACGCAGACACCCAGAAAACCCUAAACCACAAGAUGGCCAAGAGACAAAAGCAGCCCAUCCACCAGCUGAGAAUUCGUCCACUCCAGAGGCUGAGCAGGGCGGGGCUGAGUAA
Molecule: RNA transcript, 1062 nt
Organism: Nycticebus coucang (slow loris)
Lineage: Eukaryota; Metazoa; Chordata; Mammalia; Primates; Lorisidae
Gene name: Y-box-binding protein 1-like
Exons: 2
Source: RefSeq, a predicted model, not a curated record